CUAAACCUGAAGAUCCUGUGAUAUACAGCACUAUAAAUGAUGAAAGCCCUAAUGAUCCCAACAAGAACAUAACCUACAGUACUAUUGAUCAUGUUCCUGGGAGUGAAGAAAAGCCUCCAGCAGGUGGAACAAUAUACAGCAUAACAUACAGUACUGUGGGUCCACACUGACAGCAACAGUGAGAACAACACAAGAACAGAACCUUCUGACCAACAUAAACAAAAUCAAUAAGAGAGGAU
This is a long non-coding RNA of Sinocyclocheilus grahami, 239 nucleotides long. RefSeq lists it as uncharacterized. The transcript has 3 exons. The record is from RefSeq and is a predicted model, not a curated record. NCBI's taxonomy places the organism in Eukaryota, Metazoa, Chordata, Actinopteri, Cypriniformes, Cyprinidae.